Molecule: ribosomal RNA, 741 nt
Filed under: Bacillus halotolerans
Lineage: Bacteria; Bacillati; Bacillota; Bacilli; Caryophanales; Bacillaceae
Description: bacterial SSU rRNA
Rfam family: Bacterial small subunit ribosomal RNA
Source: RNAcentral
UAGAGCCUGGCUCAGGACGAACGCUGGCGGCGUGCCUAAUACAUGCAAGUCGAGCGGACAGAUGGGAGCUUGCUCCCUGAUGUUAGCGGCGGACGGGUGAGUAACACGUGGGUAACCUGCCUGUAAGACUGGGAUAACUCCGGGAAACCGGGGCUAAUACCGGAUGCUUGUUUGAACCGCAUGGUUCAAACAUAAAAGGUGGCUUCGGCUACCACUUACAGAUGGACCCGCGGCGCAUUAGCUAGUUGGUGAGGUAACGGCUCACCAAGGCAACGAUGCGUAGCCGACCUGAGAGGGUGAUCGGCCACACUGGGACUGAGACACGGCCCAGACUCCUACGGGAGGCAGCAGUAGGGAAUCUUCCGCAAUGGACGAAAGUCUGACGGAGCAACGCCGCGUGAGUGAUGAAGGUUUUCGGAUCGUAAAGCUCUGUUGUUAGGGAAGAACAAGUACCGUUCGAAUAGGGCGGACCUUGACGGUACCUAACCAGAAAGCCACGGCUAACUACGUGCCAGCAGCCGCGGUAAUACGUAGGUGCAAGCGUUGUCCGGAAUUAUUGGGCGUAAAGGGCUCGCAGGCGGUUCCUUAAGUCUGAUGUGAAAGCCCCCGGCUCAACCGGGGAGGGUCAUUGGAAACUGGGGAACUUGAGUGCAGAAGAGGAGAGUGGAAUCCACGUGUAGCGGUGAAAUGCGUAGAGAUGGGAGGAACACCAGUGCAAGGCGACCGUCUGUAACAGAGAAG